This 262-nucleotide ribosomal RNA is filed under the name Plectosphaerella cucumerina. RNAcentral describes it as "partial 28S ribosomal RNA". It matches the Rfam family "Eukaryotic large subunit ribosomal RNA", at positions 3128 to 3399 of the family's 3401-position model. The record is from RNAcentral. Lineage: Eukaryota; Fungi; Ascomycota; Sordariomycetes; Glomerellales; Plectosphaerellaceae.
CUCUAAGUCAGAAUCCGUGCCAGAAAGCGACGACGCCUCCCGCACGUAUAGAUGGACACGAAUAGGCUUCGGCUUAGCGUCUUAGCAGGCAAGGAACGCCACGGCCCAGGAAGCGGGCUGUGGUACCUUGCGGAUUGUAAUUUCAGCACGAGCGGGGUCGAAUCCCUUGCAGACGACUUGGAUGUGCGAAAGGGUCCUGUAAGCAGUAGAGUAGCCUUGUUGUUACGAUCUGCUGAGGGUAAGCCCUCCUUCGCCUAGAUUU